GUCACGAUAGCUCAAGUGGUAGAGCAGCGGCGUCUCUAGCCGAAGGUCGUGGGUUCGAAUCCCGCUCGUGACA
Molecule: transfer RNA, 73 nt
Filed under: Cimex lectularius (bed bug)
Lineage: Eukaryota; Metazoa; Arthropoda; Insecta; Hemiptera; Cimicidae
Description: tRNA-Glu
Rfam family: tRNA
About the family: Transfer RNA (tRNA) molecules are approximately 80 nucleotides in length. Their secondary structure includes four short double-helical elements and three loops (D, anti-codon, and T loops).
Source: Rfam by way of RNAcentral